GCGCCUGUAGCUCAAUUGGAUAGAGCGAGGCUCUCCUAAGGCCUAGGUUGACCGUUCGAUUCGGUCCAGGCGCA
This 74-nucleotide transfer RNA is filed under the name Omnitrophica WOR_2 bacterium GWA2_47_8. RNAcentral describes it as "tRNA-Arg". It matches the Rfam family "tRNA". Rfam says of the family: Transfer RNA (tRNA) molecules are approximately 80 nucleotides in length. Their secondary structure includes four short double-helical elements and three loops (D, anti-codon, and T loops). RNAcentral also lists the same sequence under 2 other names. Lineage: Bacteria; Pseudomonadati; Candidatus Omnitrophota. The record is from RNAcentral.